RNAcentral lists this ribosomal RNA (422 nucleotides) under uncultured Mucilaginibacter sp. Its description in RNAcentral is "bacterial SSU rRNA". It matches the Rfam family "Bacterial small subunit ribosomal RNA", at positions 355 to 774 of the family's 1533-position model. Lineage: Bacteria; Pseudomonadati; Bacteroidota; Sphingobacteriia; Sphingobacteriales; Sphingobacteriaceae. The record is from RNAcentral.
UAAGGAAUAUUGGUCAAUGGGCGGAAGCCUGAACCAGCCAUGCCGCGUGCAGGAAGACGGCCCUAUGGGUUGUAAACUGCUUUUGCAGGGGAAUAAACCUCAUUACGUGUAAUGAGCUGAAUGUACUCUGAGAAUAAGGAUCGGCUAACUCCGUGCCAGCAGCCGCGGUAAUACGGAGGAUCCAAGCGUUAUCCGGAUUUAUUGGGUUUAAAGGGUGCGUAGGUGGCUUUUUAAGUCAGGGGUGAAAGACGGUAGCUUAACUAUCGCAGUGCCUUUGAUACUGAAGAGCUUGAAUAAACUAGAGGUAGGCGGAAUGUGACAAGUAGCGGUGAAAUGCAUAGAUAUGUCACAGAACACCAAUUGCGAAGGCAGCUUACUAUGGUUUUAUUGACACUGAGGCACGAAAGCGUGGGGAUCAAACA